RNAcentral lists this ribosomal RNA (253 nucleotides) under uncultured bacterium. RNAcentral describes it as "partial 16S ribosomal RNA". It matches the Rfam family "Bacterial small subunit ribosomal RNA", at positions 524 to 776 of the family's 1533-position model. The record is from RNAcentral.
GACGUAGGAUGCGAGCGUUGUCCGGAUUCAUUGGGCGUAAAGAGCGCGCAGGCGGCUUGGUAAGUCGGAUGUGAAAUCCCGAGGCUCAACCUCGGGUCUGCAUCCGAUACUGCCCGGCUAGAGGUAGGUAGGGGAGAUCGGAAUUCCUGGUGUAGCGGUGAAAUGCGCAGAUAUCAGGAGGAACACCGGUGGCGAAGGCGGAUCUCUGGGCCUUACCUGACGCUCAGGCGCGAAAGCUAGGGGAGCGAACUGG